AUGAACGCUGGCGGCGUGCCUAAUACAUGCAAGUCGAGCGAACAGACGAGGAGCUUGCUCCUCUGACGUUAGCGGCGGACGGGUGAGUAACACGUGGAUAACCUACCUAUAAGACUGGGAUAACUUCGGGAAACCGGAGCUAAUACCGGAUAAUAUAUUGAACCGCAUGGUUCAAUAGUGAAAGACGGUUUUGCUGUCACUUAUAGAUGGAUCCGCGCCGCAUUAGCUAGUUGGUAAGGUAACGGCUUACCAAGGCAAAGAUGCGUAGCCGACCUGAGAGGGUGGUCGGCCACACUGGAGCUGAGCCACGGUCCAGACUCCUACGGGAGGCAGCAGUAGGGAAUCUUCCGCAAUGGGCGAAAGCCUGACGGAGCAACGCCGCGUGAGUGAUGAAGGUCUUCGGAUCGUAAAACUCUGUUAUUAGGGAAGAACAAAUGUGUAAGUAACUAUGCACGUCUUGACGGUACCUAAUCAGAAAGCCACGGCUAACUACGUG
RNAcentral lists this ribosomal RNA (496 nucleotides) under uncultured bacterium. RNAcentral's name for it is "partial 16S ribosomal RNA". It matches the Rfam family "Bacterial small subunit ribosomal RNA", at positions 29 to 507 of the family's 1533-position model. The record is from RNAcentral.